Molecule: ribosomal RNA, 492 nt
Filed under: uncultured bacterium
Lineage: Bacteria
Description: partial 16S ribosomal RNA
Rfam family: Bacterial small subunit ribosomal RNA
Source: RNAcentral
AGUGAACGCUAGCGGUAGGCCUAACACAUGCAAGUCGAACGGCAGCACAGUAAGAGCUUGCUCUUACGGGUGGUGAGUGGCGGACGGGUGAGGAAUACAUCGGAAUCUACUUUUUCGUGGGGGAUAACGUAGGGAAACUUACGCUAAUACCGCAUACGACCUACGGGUGAAAGCAGGGGAUCUUCGGACCUUGCGCGAUUGAAUGAGCCGAUGUCGGAUUAGCUAGUUGGCGGGGUAAAGGCCCACCAAGGCGACGAUCCGUAGCUGGUCUGAGAGGAUGAUCAGCCACACUGGAACUGAGACACGGUCCAGACUCCUACGGGAGGCAGCAGUGGGGAAUAUUGGACAAUGGGCGCAAGCCUGAUCCAGCCAUACCGCGUGGGUGAAGAAGGCCUUCGGGUUGUAAAGCCCUUUUGUUGGGAAAGAAAAGCAGCAGGUUAAUACCCCGCUGUUCUGACGGUACCCAAAGAAUAAGCACCGGCUAACUUCGUG